UAGUGGACUGAGUUGGGCUGAGUGGCUGUUUGGAUCUGCUAAUGUCCGGAACUCGGUGAACACACCACGCGGAGACCCUUGUUGACCCUGGUUUCUUCCAUUCAACCUGCUUUUUCAGGGGUUUUAGGGAAAUAAAGGGAGGGGGCUGUGGCAUGAAAUGAAAUUAAGGCAUUUGAGGUGCAUAGAUACACUAAUAAAUGAAAAAAUACACAAAAAAACACUUUUUGGUGAGUUUUCUUUGCUGUUGUUGAGAGUUGUCAGUGUAAGUUAGGUGUGGCCAACAUUAACCACAAAAUAAAUAGACAUUAAACCAGUUAAAUCUCGGCGGCUUAGUGUGGCAAAGGCAAAGUGUGAUGCUACAUUUAUUUUCUCUUGAUAACGUGCAAGUGGAUCUCAUUAUCGUGAAAAAAGGAUAAAAAAAAGUAGGGUAGGCCGGAAUUGGCUUCCGUAUGACUAGAUCCAUGUAUGUUUCUUUAUUUACUCGUCUGAGUUGAUAUCUGGCGCAAAAAUGUACGGCUGGACAGCUCCAAUAUUGCUAAACAUUUUGUUUUUGUGCUAGCAAUGUUACCAUGAGGAUGUGAGGGGCUUUAAGCUGGCAGAAGACCAUGUAAACAAAGGGAUGAUGGGAAAUGAGGGAUGGCCCAUUUGAGAAGGCAAAUUUCUUGCCGCUCUGUAGAUACUGUGUAUUAGAAAAUGACACAGGCUUUGUUUAUUUAGCCUGAAAACUGCAUAAUCAUAAUUAAAAGACCACUGGGAUUUAAAACGCUGAAUGUGCUGUUUAUUUUUUUUUAUUGUAUAGUUACUAACAGAAAUGAAUUGUUUUAGUGUCAUAGUUUUCCUUUUAGGAACAUUUGUGAUAAAGUUAAAAUUUUUAUAUUUCUUCUCAAUGCUUUCAUUAAAAUGUGGAAACUGAUUGAUUGCAGUUUGUCAUUUGUGCCUCUAGAUGUCACUACAUGUCUUCUGGUUGAAGUGAACGUCACAGAGCAUCUUACCCGUCCAGGUGCGAUAGACAGGAAGUUUGAGAGCAGGCUGCUGGUUUUCUGGAUUUGAUAAAGUGUUGGACCUCUCCAGGGCGCACACACUCUUCAGCUCCCUCAUCCCGUCAUCUCCUAUCUCCUCCGUCUCACUGGACUCUAAUGGUGAAAAGGUCGGCCCACCCGCAGUCCAGAGCAACUUUGGCUUCGGGUGACCUCCUUUCAACAAAAUGGAGAAGACGCCGACACCCUCGCC
RNAcentral lists this long non-coding RNA (1230 nucleotides) under Oryzias javanicus (javanese ricefish). Its description in RNAcentral is "lncRNA (ENSOJAG00000023790.1)". Lineage: Eukaryota; Metazoa; Chordata; Actinopteri; Beloniformes; Adrianichthyidae. The record is from RNAcentral.